GAUGAACGCCGGCGGCGUGCCUAAUACAUGCAAGUCGAGCGAACGGACGAGAAGCUUGCUUUUCUGAUGUUAGCGGCGGACGGGUGAGUAACACGUGGAUAACCUACCUAUAAGACUGGGAUAACUUCGGGAAACCGGAGCUAAUACCGGAUAAUAUUUUGAACCGCAUGGUUCAAAAGUGAAAGACGGUCUUGCUGUCACUUAUAGAUGGAUCCGCGCUGCAUUAGCUAGUUGGUAAGGUAACGGCUUACCAAGGCAACGAUGCAUAGCCGACCUGAGAGGGUGAUCGGCCACACUGGAACUGAGACACGGUCAAGACUCCUACGGGAGGCAGCAGUAGGGAAUCUUCCGCAAUGGGCGAAAGCCUGACGGAGCAACGCCGCGUGAGUGAUGAAGGUCUUCGGAUCGUAAAACUCUGUUAUUAGGGAAGAACAUAUGUGUAAGUAACUGUGCACAUCUUGACGGUACCUAAUCAGAAAGCCACGGCUAACUACGUG
This 497-nucleotide ribosomal RNA is filed under the name uncultured bacterium. Its description in RNAcentral is "partial 16S ribosomal RNA". It matches the Rfam family "Bacterial small subunit ribosomal RNA", at positions 28 to 507 of the family's 1533-position model. The record is from RNAcentral.